This 501-nucleotide ribosomal RNA is filed under the name uncultured bacterium. RNAcentral's name for it is "bacterial SSU rRNA". It matches the Rfam family "Bacterial small subunit ribosomal RNA", at positions 28 to 517 of the family's 1533-position model. The record is from RNAcentral.
GAUGAACGCUAGCGGCAGGCUUAACACAUGCAAGUCGAGGGGCAGCACGGGUAGCAAUACCUGGUGGCGACCGGCGCAAGGGUGCGUAACGCGUGAGCAACAUGCCCUAUACAGGGGGAUAAUCCAGGGAAACUUGGUCUAAUAUCCCAUAGCAUUUAGAGGAGGCAUCUUCACUAAAUUAAAGCUUCGGUGGUAUAGGAUUGGCUCGCGUGACAUUAGCUAGAUGGUGAGGUAACGGCCCACCAUGGCUAUGAUGUCUAGGGGUUCUGAGAGGAAGACCCCCCACACUGGGACUGAGACACGGCCCAGACUCCUACGGGAGGCAGCAGUGGGGAAUUUUGGACAAUGGGCGAAAGCCUGAUCCAGCAAUGCCGCGUGCAGGAAGAAGGCCUUCGGUUGUAACUAGCUUUGUUCAGGAAGGAAAUACUUCUGGGCUAAUACCCCGGGACGGAUGACGGUACCUGAAGAAUAAGACACCGGCUAACUACGUGCCAGCAGCCG